Molecule: ribosomal RNA, 429 nt
Filed under: Verrucomicrobiota bacterium
Lineage: Bacteria; Pseudomonadati; Verrucomicrobiota
Description: Verrucomicrobia bacterium partial 16S ribosomal RNA
Rfam family: Bacterial small subunit ribosomal RNA
Source: RNAcentral
UAGGGAAUCUUCCGCAAUGGACGAAAGUCUGACGGAGCAACGCCGCGUGAGUGAAGAAGGAUUUCGGUUCGUAAAACUCUGUUGUUAGGGAAGAAAAAAUGUAUAGUAACUAUAUACAAAAGAGACGGUACCUAACCAGAAAGCCACGGCUAACUACGUGCCAGCAGCCGCGGUAAUACGUAGGUGGCAAGCGUUGUCCGGAAUUAUUGGGCGUAAAGCGCGCGCAGGUGGUUUAGAAAGUCUGAUGUGAAAGCCCACGGCUCAACCGUGGAGGGUCAUUGGAAACUAAUAAACUUGAGAGCAGGAGAGAAAAGUGGAAUUCCUAGUGUAGCGGUGAAAUGCGUAGAGAUUAGGAGGAACACCGGUGGCGAAAGCGGCUUUUUGGCCUGCAACUGACACUGAGGCGCGAAAGCGUGGGGAGCAAACAGG